CCCUGGUAGGGUCUUGCUCCAACAUGUCUCUACAUGAAUGAAACCUGCAGUCUUUGUCAUGUCUGCUUUGUGUGUAUCCAGAGAGAAAUUGCAGAAGUCCUCUCUAAGCAAAUAUCUAGAUUGGACAGGACAAACACAAAACAGCUUUACAGAUUCAUUCAUGGCCUUAAUGAAGUGGUGGACGUGCUUUGGAUUAGAAAUGUGUUGUGGGAUUUUGCUUUUGUAUAAUCCAAAUUUUAUUUAACUAAUUUAAAUCACAGUUUGUGAUAACAUUCCAGUUCUGUUUUUAUAAAAGUGUGUGUCAUUUUUACAUGCCAUUAAAUCUGGUGAAACUUAAAGGUUUUCACUAAGUCGAACUCUA
Molecule: long non-coding RNA, 361 nt
Organism: Trichomycterus rosablanca
Lineage: Eukaryota; Metazoa; Chordata; Actinopteri; Siluriformes; Trichomycteridae
Exons: 2
Source: RefSeq, a predicted model, not a curated record